RNAcentral lists this ribosomal RNA (239 nucleotides) under uncultured Glomeromycotina. Its description in RNAcentral is "partial 28S ribosomal RNA". Lineage: Eukaryota; Fungi; Glomeromycota. The record is from RNAcentral.
CAAUUUGAUCGUUAUAAAAUGACUGGAGUAAUGUAGCUUCGAUCUUGUAUUGAAGUGUUAUAACUUUGGUAGAUGUAACGAUUGGGAUUGAGGAUUGCAACGAAUACCCUUCGGGCUAUCCUCUGGCCUCUGAAAGUUGUCUUGGUGCCGAAAGCGUGCUUACGGUUAUCGAGGCUGACGUCAAAAGGUUAGAACGCGAUUAAAUUCGUUAAGGAUGUUGACGUAAUGGCUUUAAACGA